AUACGGAGGGUGCAAGCGUUAAUCGGAAUUACUGGGCGUAAAGCGCUCGUAGGCGGCUUGUUAAGUCGGAUGUGAAAUCCCCGGGCUCAACCUGGGAACUGCAUUCGAUACUGGCAAGCUAGAGUAUAGUAGAGGCAAGUGGAAUUCCGGGUGUAGCGGUGAAAUGCGUAGAUAUCCGGAGGAACAUCAGUGGCGAAGGCGACUUGCUGGACUAAUACUGACGCUGAGGAGCGAAAGCGUGGGGAGCAAACGGGAUUAGAUACCCCGGUAGUCC
RNAcentral lists this ribosomal RNA (274 nucleotides) under uncultured bacterium. RNAcentral's name for it is "partial 16S ribosomal RNA". It matches the Rfam family "Bacterial small subunit ribosomal RNA", at positions 523 to 796 of the family's 1533-position model. The record is from RNAcentral.